RNAcentral lists this long non-coding RNA (429 nucleotides) under Elaeis guineensis (African oil palm). RNAcentral's name for it is "long non-coding RNA (EGUI_LNC022728)". Lineage: Eukaryota; Viridiplantae; Streptophyta; Magnoliopsida; Arecales; Arecaceae. The record is from RNAcentral.
UAUCAAAAGAGGACUAAGUAUAUUGAUAUCAGAUAUCGUUUUAUUUAGAAUAUUGUAUCACAAUAGGUUAUUGUACUAAAAAAGAUUAUUAUAGCAAAUAAGCGGAUAUGAUGGCUAAGCUAGUUACUACUCUCAAGUUCAAGCAUUGCAUGGAUUUGAUUCAUAGUUUGAGAUAUUAAGCUAGAUCGUUAAGAGCAUUGUUGAAGGAGAUGGAGAGGAGUUCACUAUUUUAUAUUACCGUUUGAUGAAAUUCAAGUUAAGUUGGAGAUUUCUUGAGUAUGGUUUGAAUUUUAGUGUGAUAUGGUUUAUCACUUGAUUUGACUAUAUUGUAAUCAUGUCUUUUGUUAUUUGAGUCUCUGCAUUUUAUUCAUACUUUAUCUUAUCAUAUAGUGAAAUCUCUACCCAUCUUUAUCCGUAGAUGUAGGCCAA